ACUGUUCGCCGGGGUGUCGCCUCAGUCCUCACGGAUUGGGGAGGAAAGUCCGGACAACAAAGAGCGCUGCACCGCCUAACCGACGGGGUCCGUGUUAAAGCGGAUACAGAAAGUGCCACAGAAAAUAACCGCUUCGUGUAAACGGAGUAAGGGUGAAAAUGUGAGGUAAAAGCUCACGGUUCGGCAUAGUAAUAUGUCGGGCGGGUAAACCUUGCGGGUUGAAAGGUCAAAUAAAUCCUGAUUCCGGUUUCGAUCCGGAAGUGGUGUUGCUCGCAUCGCCAUCGGGACGGGUUGACCGACAGAUUCAGAUGGCAACAUCUGAACCAGAUAAAUGACGACCCUACCGGAAUUUAUUCCGGGAAACAGAAUCCGGCUUACGAGCGGACAGUUCAU
RNAcentral lists this RNase P RNA (393 nucleotides) under Bacteroidota bacterium. RNAcentral's name for it is "Bacteroidetes bacterium (mine drainage metagenome) RNase P RNA component class A". It matches the Rfam family "Bacterial RNase P class A". From Rfam's summary of the family: Ribonuclease P (RNase P) is a ubiquitous endoribonuclease, found in archaea, bacteria and eukarya as well as chloroplasts and mitochondria. Lineage: Bacteria; Pseudomonadati; Bacteroidota. The record is from RNAcentral.